GAUCAUUACCGAGUAAGGGGUCCUCUGGGCCCCAACUCCCCACCCUUUGUGUACGUACUCCGUUGCUUCGGCGGGCCCGCGGCGUGAAAACCCGCCGUCGGCCCAGGCUGACGAGCGCCCGCCAGAGGACCUUCAAAACCUAUUUAUCAGUGUCGUCUGAGUUCAGCUUCGAAUGUAGUAAAACUUUCAACAACGGAUCUCUUGGUUCUGGCAUCGAUGAAGAACGCAGCGAAAUGCGAUAAGUAAUGUGAAUUGCAGAAUUCAGUGAAUCAUCGAAUCUUUGAACGCACAUUGCGCCCCUUGGUAUUCCGAGGGGCACGCCUGUUCGAGCGUCAUUACACCCCUCAAGCUCGGCUUGGUAUUGGGCCCUCGUCCCCAUGGACGUGCCCGAAACUCCUCGGCGGCGGCGCCUUGCUUCAAGCGUAGUGAAAUCACAAUCUCGCUUUGGAAGUGGAGGCAUCGCCCGCCGGACGAACCCAAAUCUUUCCAAGUUUGACCUCGGAUCAGGCGGGGAUACCCGCUGAACUUAAGCAUAUCAAUAAGCGGAGGAAAAGAAACCAACAGGGAUUGCCCUAGUAACGGCGAGUGAAGCGGCAACAGCUCAAAUUUGAAAUCUGGCGCCUUCGGUGCCCGAGUUGUAAUUUGCAGAGGAUGCUUCGGCGUCGGCUCCGGUCUAAGUCCCUUGGAACAGGGCGUCACAGAGGGUGAGAAUCCCGUACGUGGCCGGCCGCCUCAGCCAUGUGAAGCUCCUUCGACGAGUCGAGUUGUUUGGGAAUGCAGCUCUAAACGGGAGGUAAAUUUCUUCUAAAGCUAAAUACCGGCCAGAGACCGAUAGCGCACAAGUAGAGUGAUCGAAAGAUGAAAAGCACUUUGAAAAGAGAGUUAAAAAGUACGUGAAAUUGUUGAAAGGGAAGCGCUUGCAGCCAGACUUGACCGCGGAUGCUCAACCGGCCCUUCGGCCGGUGCACUCUUCCGCGGUCAGGCCAGCGUCGGUUUGGGCGGCCGGAUAAAGGCCCCGGGAAUGUAGCUCCUCUCGGGGAGUGUUAUAGCCCGGGGCGUAAUACGGCCAGCCCGGACCGAGGACCGCGCU
This 1090-nucleotide ribosomal RNA is filed under the name fungal sp. ARIZ AZ0864. RNAcentral describes it as "eukaryotic LSU rRNA". The stretch from base 494 to 1090 matches the Rfam family "Eukaryotic large subunit ribosomal RNA", at positions 1 to 601 of the family's 3401-position model. The record is from RNAcentral. RNAcentral also lists the same sequence under 2 other names. Lineage: Eukaryota; Fungi.